AACGAACGCUGGCGGCAGGCCUAACACAUGCAAGUCGAACGCCCCGCAAGGGGAGUGGCAGACGGGUGAGUAACGCGUGGGAACCUACCUAGUGGUACGGAACAACUCGGGGAAACUUGAGCUAAUACCGUAUACGCCCUCCGGGGGAAAGAUUUAUCGCCAUUAGAUGGGCCCGCGUCGGAUUAGCUAGUUGGUGAGGUAAUGGCUCACCAAGGCUUCGAUCCGUAGCUGGUCUGAGAGGAUGAUCAGCCACACUGGGACUGAGACACGGCCCAGACUCCGACGGGAGGCAGCAGUGAGGAAUAUUGGACAAUGGGCGCAAGCCUGAUCCAGCCAUGCCGCGUGAGUGAAGAAGGCCUUAGGGUUGUAAAGCUCUUUCGACGGGGAAGAUAAUGACGAUACCCGUAGAAGAAGCCCCGGCUAACUUCGUGCCAGCAGCCGCAGUAA
This 447-nucleotide ribosomal RNA is filed under the name uncultured bacterium. RNAcentral's name for it is "partial 16S ribosomal RNA". It matches the Rfam family "Bacterial small subunit ribosomal RNA", at positions 29 to 523 of the family's 1533-position model. The record is from RNAcentral.